RNAcentral lists this ribosomal RNA (446 nucleotides) under uncultured bacterium. RNAcentral describes it as "partial 16S ribosomal RNA". It matches the Rfam family "Bacterial small subunit ribosomal RNA", at positions 338 to 795 of the family's 1533-position model. The record is from RNAcentral.
CCUACGGGAGGCAGCAGUCGAGAAUCAUUCACAAUGGGGGAAACCCUGAUGGUGCGACGCCGCGUGGGGGAAUGAAGGUCUUCGGAUUGUAAACCCCUGUCAUGUGGGAGCAAAUUAAAAAGAUAGUACCACAAGAGGAAGAGACGGCUAACUCUGUGCCAGCAGCCGCGGUAAUACAGAGGUCUCAAGCGUUGUUCGGAAUCACUGGGCGUAAAGCGUGCGUAGGCCGUUUCGUAAGUCGUGUGUGAAAGGCGCGGGCUCAACCCGCGGACGGCACAUGAUACUGCGAGACUAGAGUAAGGGAGGGGGAACCGGAAUUCUCGGUGUAGCAGUGAAAUGCGUAGAUAUCGAGAGGAACACUCGUGGCGAAGGCGGGUUCCUGGACAUUAACUGACGCUGAGGCACGAAGGCCAGGGGAGCGAAAGGGAUUAGAUACCCGGGUAGUC